UUCCCCUUUCAAGUUCGCAAAAACUGUUUUCUGUUCGUGGGGUUAGCCUACUCCUAUGCAUCCUCCAUUCCAAGUUCAAUCCCUGCGGUUUUCGGCGGCGACUCGCUUGCGUUAGCUGGCUUGCGGCGUCGUGGUCGGCGGCUUAGUGAGUGGGCAGCGGGAAUGAUGGCGUGGUGGUCGACGGAUAGGCUGGGCGUCCCUGAGGGUGGGCGGUUGACCACGGGUGCGCGACGGCCUGGUGCUUGGCGGCCACGGCGGCGUGGUGAGCGCGUCGUGGCCUAGAUGUUGGGAAGCAUGGUUUGUGGUGGUCGGCUGGCUGCAGCGGCAGUUCAGGUGGUGCUGGCGGCGGCACUAUGAGCAGUGCUCGCGGCGGCACUGGAUCGACCGUGACCGCUUCGUUCCAUCCUCCGGCCGGCUGCCACGGUUGCUUGAUCCAGUACGUGUUGGAGACAUUCCCACCAGGCUUCAAUGGAGGGGAAGGUAGCCGCUAGACUUGGACUCAAAUGGACACCCUGCCAGGAGAGCACCAUGGAGAAGACGGACGAGGUGAAGAGGCAGUCCUUGCAGAGAUGGGUGGCGGUUUCCGGGACCUGAAGCACCCACAUAUCUGUGUUUUGAUUUCUUGUUUGAAACUACUGGGCGUCCAUAUCACUAUCACUUCACCAUCCAGUGAAGAAUGGAUCCAUCAACUCUAAUAUGAUUAAUGUCAUCUUCCUUGGGGCUUUUUUUA
This is a long non-coding RNA of Triticum dicoccoides, 730 nucleotides long. RefSeq lists it as uncharacterized. NCBI's taxonomy places the organism in Eukaryota, Viridiplantae, Streptophyta, Magnoliopsida, Poales, Poaceae. The transcript has 2 exons. The record is from RefSeq and is a predicted model, not a curated record.